RNAcentral lists this long non-coding RNA (1445 nucleotides) under Meleagris gallopavo (turkey). RNAcentral's name for it is "lncRNA (ENSMGAG00000022486.1)". Lineage: Eukaryota; Metazoa; Chordata; Aves; Galliformes; Phasianidae. The record is from RNAcentral.
GCCAGGGUAUAUACCGUUUGUAUUUGCACUUAGAAGAUGUUUGUCACCAUCUUUGCAGAGACACCACUCUGCUUGAAUGUCCACCGUGUGCUGGUUGAUGUUCCUACCUCCAGUCGUGUGGUCAAAGGAAGGGCCGGUAUCUGGAGAAGGCGUUGGUCCCUUGUGCCUUAUCCAGUCAAUGCUGCUGGACGGCUCCUGGACCCACUCGCAGAAGUCAACAUCAAACGUGCAGGAGAAAUUGCAGGCUGCUGGACGGCUCCUGGACCCACUCGCAGAAGUCAACAUCAAACGUGCAGGAGAAAUUGCAGGCUGCUGGGGAAGCUGGGAUAUGGUGCAGAAAGGAAAGCAGAGUUUUAAAAGUGAGAGUGUGCAAACCUUUCCCCAGUGUCCCGCAGGGCACACCUAUAUCCCUGCCGCGAUUACGGCCAGGUGACGAUGGUCAACCAAAUGCAAUUCCACCCCGGGUAUUGCACAGCGUUCAUUGCUCAAGGCUUCUUCCUUUCUCCCUCAAUUUCAUCAGGGUCCCCCAGCCUUCUUCUCUCCACCUCUACUGGUGCUACCUUGCUGAGUCUCUCGGGAGGGAUGGGGCUCUCUCUUGGGCUCAAUAUCACCAAUGAUUUCCCACAACUUGAAAGCCUUUCUAACUGAUACUGCAAGAAGCACUUCAAGGCAGAGAGGCAGCAAGUCUGAAGUCUCUCUUGAUGUGCAGUGUGGUACCACGGCCCAGCCUCCCUCUGGAAAUGCUUGCCUUCAUAAAGGCAAAAAGCUACCGACACCACAGGCUGGGCCGUGCUGCUUCAGGUCUAAGGACAAGCAACGCCCUUAAGAAGACACUGUGCAGGACAACACAGGACAGUAAUGGAAAUUCCAAACUGUCAGUCUGCAAAAUGCGAUGCAAAACCAGCUGAUUCACAGCGGUAGUGGGUAGGAAAGAAAUCUCAAAUCUCAGAUACCAAAAAAGGGAAGCCGAGCAUUCAUUUGUGAAGUAGAAAUGCAAGAAAUUAUUAGUGAUAACUCCUGAAUAGAAACCAAGCCGAUGCCUCACCGCAGACCGUGCCAGCGCUCCAGUCUCCCAGAACAACCCCUGCCGCAGCACAGGCUUCAGCGUAGGAACUCAGGUCACUGCACAGCUGAUCCGUGCUGCCACCUGUGCCACACUGGUCAUAGACGCAGCUCUCAAAGUACUCCUGGGGUGGCAGAACUGCGUGGCAUGGCUCAAACGGGCCACCGGCUUGUGUGAGCAUUUCACACUUCUUGUGAGCUGCCUCCUCCUCUGACGGGGAGCAGGACACAGGCGGGACGAUGGUCGUGUCACAGCUGCAAAGCAGAGAGACAGCCCUGAGCUCUCAGCAGCCUGUGAACCUGAGCCACAACCUUUCUGCACUGGCAGAAACUUGAGUCUUUGUGGAAUCCACGUCCCUCCUGAAGACGAGGCACACGAAGCU